Non-coding RNA from Phrynosoma platyrhinos (Desert horned lizard), 70 nucleotides. Lineage: Eukaryota; Metazoa; Chordata; Lepidosauria; Squamata; Phrynosomatidae. The record is from the annotation of a GenBank genome assembly.
UUGUGCGGCAUAGUGGUUUGAGUGUUGCGACUAUGACUCUGGAGGCCAGGGUUCGAAUCCCCACCACAAG